AACGUAGGUCACAAGCGUUGUCCGGAAUUACUGGGUGUAAAGGGAGCGCAGGCGGGAAGACAAGUUGGAAGUGAAAUCUAUGGGCUCAACCCAUAAACUGCUUUCAAAACUGUUUUUCUUGAGUAGUGCAGAGGUAGGCAGAAUUCCCGGUGUAGCGGUGGAAUGCGUAGAUAUCGGGAGGAACACCAGUGGCGAAGGCGGCCUACUGGGCACCAACUGACGCUGAGGCUCGAAAGUGUGGGUAGCAAACAGG
This 253-nucleotide ribosomal RNA is filed under the name Faecalibacterium prausnitzii. RNAcentral describes it as "partial 16S ribosomal RNA". It matches the Rfam family "Bacterial small subunit ribosomal RNA", at positions 524 to 776 of the family's 1533-position model. Lineage: Bacteria; Bacillati; Bacillota; Clostridia; Eubacteriales; Oscillospiraceae. The record is from RNAcentral.